This 253-nucleotide ribosomal RNA is filed under the name uncultured bacterium. RNAcentral's name for it is "partial 16S ribosomal RNA". It matches the Rfam family "Bacterial small subunit ribosomal RNA", at positions 524 to 776 of the family's 1533-position model. The record is from RNAcentral.
UACGUAGGGUGCGGAGCGUUAAUCGGAAUUACUGGGCGUAAAGCGUGCGCAGGCGGUGAUGUAAGACAGGUGUGAAAUCCCCGGGCUUAACCUGGGAACUGCAUUUGUGACUGCAUCGCUGGAGUGCGGCAGAGGGGGAUGGAAUUCCGCGUGUAGCAGUGAAAUGCGUAGAUAUGCGGAGGAACACCGAUGCGAAGGCAAUCCCCUGGGCCUGCACUGACGCUCAUGCACGAAAGCGUGGGGAGCAAACAGG